GAGUGGCGGACGGGUGAGUAAUGUUUGGGAAACUGCCUGAUGGAGGGGGAUAACUACUGGAAACGGUAGCUAAUACCGCAUAACGUCGCAAGACCAAAGAGGGGGACCUUCUGGCCCCUUGCCAUCGGAUGUGCCCAGAUGGGAUUAGCUUGUUGGUGGGGUAACGGCUCACCAAGGCGACGAUCCCUAGCUGGUCUGAGAGGAUGACCAGCCACACUGGAACUGAGACACGGUCCAGACUCCUACGGGAGGCAGCAGUGGGGAAUAUUGCACAAUGGGCGCAAGCCUGAUGCAGCCAUGCCGCGUGUAUGAAGAAGGCCUUCGGGUUGUAAAGUACUUUCAGCGGGGAGGAAGGGAGUAAAGUUAAUACCUUUGCUCAUUGACGUUACCCGCAGAAGAAGCACCGGCUAACUCCGUGCCAGCAGCCGCGGUAAUACGGAGGGUGCAAGCGUUGAUCGGAAUUACUGGGCGUAAAGCGCACGCAGGCGGUCUGUCAAGUCGGAUGUGAAAUCCCCGGGCUCAACCUGGGAACUGCAUCCGAAACUGGCAGGCUAGAGUCUUGUAGAGGGGGGUAGAAUUCCAGGUGUAGCGGUGAAAUGCGUAGAGAUCUGGAGGAAUACCGGCGGCGAAGGCGGCCCCCUGGACAAAGACUGACGCUCAGGUGCGAAAGCGUGGGGAGCAAACAGGAUUAGAUACCCUGGUAGUCCACGCCGUAAACGAUGUCGACUUGGAGGUUGUGCCCUUGAGGCGUGGCUUCCGGAGCUAACGCGUUAAGUCGACCGCCUGGGGAGUACGGCCGCAAGGUUAAAACUCAAAUGAAUUGACGGGGGCCCGCACAAGCGGUGGAGCAUGUGGUUUAAUUCGAUGCAACGCGAAGAACCUUACCUACUCUUGACAUCCAGAGAACUUAGCAGAGAUGCUUUGGUGCCUUCGGGAACUCUGAGACAGAUGCUGCAUGGCUGUCGUCAGCUCGUGUUGUGAAAUGUUGGGUUAAGUCCCGCAACGAGCGCAACCCUUAUCCUUUGUUGCCAGCGGUCCGGCCGGGAACUCAAAGGAGACUGCCAGUGAUAAACUGGAGGAAGGUGGGGAUGACGUCAGGUCAUCAUGGCCCUUACGAGUAGGGCUACACACGUGCUACAAUGGCAUAUACAAAGAGAAGCGACCUCGCGAGAGCAAGCGGACCUCAUAAAGUAUGUCGUAGUCCGGAUUGGAGUCUGCAACUCGACUCCAUGAAGUCGGAAUCGCUAGUAAUCGUGGAUCAGAAUGCCACGGUGAAUACGUUCCCGGGCCUUGUACAC
This 1298-nucleotide ribosomal RNA is filed under the name Enterobacter sp. enrichment culture clone SRC_NBB18. RNAcentral describes it as "bacterial SSU rRNA". It matches the Rfam family "Bacterial small subunit ribosomal RNA", at positions 93 to 1388 of the family's 1533-position model. The record is from RNAcentral. Lineage: Bacteria; Pseudomonadati; Pseudomonadota; Gammaproteobacteria; Enterobacterales; Enterobacteriaceae.